This 208-nucleotide ribosomal RNA is filed under the name uncultured bacterium. RNAcentral's name for it is "partial 16S ribosomal RNA". It matches the Rfam family "Bacterial small subunit ribosomal RNA", at positions 568 to 774 of the family's 1533-position model. The record is from RNAcentral.
CGCGUAGGCGGCCAGCACAAGUCAGUUGUGAAAUCUCCGGGCUUAACCCGGAAAGGUCAACUGAUACUGUGCGGCUAGAGUGCGGAAGGGGCAACUGGAAUUCUCGGUGUAGCGGUGAAAUGCGUAGAUAUCGAGAGGAACACCUGCGGCGAAGGCGGGUUGCUGGGCCGACACUGACGCUGAGGCGCGAAAGCCAGGGGAGCGAACG